CCAUGGGGUCGCAAAGAGUUGGACACGACUGAGCGACUUUCACUUUCUUUCAAAUUGCACAGGCUCCUCUACAAAAUGGAUGGGGCUGCCUUGCCAGCCGGAGCCUGAAAAUGUGCCCAGGUGUACAGAACCCCAAGUCCCUGGACAACCUGUGAAAUGCUAGCUGCCUGUGAACAGAUGAAAGGGAGGACAGGCAACUGUCCUGGAAGGAAGGAUCUGCAGACGGGACCUCCCUCAACUUUGACCGUGUACAUCUCAGGGUCUGCUUUCCCAGUCUGACCCCUCCUAGUGACAGCAGAGCUGUGAACCCAGGAACACUGACAGCCAAGAAAAGUGGCAUCAUCAAACCCCUCCCACCGCCUCUUCUCUCCUCUCAUGGCCAUUUUCAACAUCAAAGAAUAAUAAACUACUACACUGCACAUCUGAAACUCAUAUAAUAUUUCAAAUCAACUAUGCUUCAGUUUUGAAAAAUUUAUAAAGAAUAAAAAUGCUGUAAAAGAAAUGCCCCCCAGGAGUUUUAGUAAAGGGUCUGAAACCUAUAAUUUGAUCCCCAGUUCCAUUCCAUCUGCCAAAGCUGUGACGGACUCUGCGGUCAAGACAGUGGGCCAGCCAUCUGCUUGCAACCAUACCAUGAUUACAGGUUGUUCCUAAGAGUUGGUAUAACUAGAGGGUUAGGCUCAAGGAAACUCAUAGUAGCAUUACUGAUUGCCAACCAUGUUCUAGGCUUUAUGUACUUGCAACAAAUUUGUGAGCCUGGAAUUAUUCUUACAAAUGUUUUAGGAAUUGGAGACUGGACUCAGAAGCAUUAAAUGAAAGAUUGCCCAGCCAAAAAAA
Long non-coding RNA from Bubalus bubalis (water buffalo), 834 nucleotides. RefSeq lists it as uncharacterized. Lineage: Eukaryota; Metazoa; Chordata; Mammalia; Artiodactyla; Bovidae. The record is from RefSeq and is a predicted model, not a curated record. The transcript is spliced from 2 exons.